Molecule: long non-coding RNA, 1542 nt
Filed under: Anser cygnoides (Swan goose)
Lineage: Eukaryota; Metazoa; Chordata; Aves; Anseriformes; Anatidae
Description: lncRNA (ENSACDG00005002316.1)
Source: RNAcentral
AUGGGGGACACGGUGCAGGGGGGGUGGAGGCAGCGCAGCCCCCCUCUGCCGUGUCCCCUGGUGGUCCCUGGGCAUCGCCCCAUCCCCAGCUGCUGCCCCCAGUGCCUGGCCGUGCCCAGGGGAGGGGCCGGAUCCUGCUCCCUGCUCUCUCAGCACCCUCCUUGCUCAGCCAGGAGCUGGGGGCACUGGGGGCAGCUCCCGAGACCACCAGCCCCGGCCCCACGGGCAGCAGCGGUGGGACAGAACCCGGCCACCAUGAGCACAACACCUUCACGUGGCAGGAGAGAGGGAGGAAGAGGAGGGAAGGGAGGGAUGAAGGCGAUGGGAUGCUGCCCAGGACCCACCGAGCAUGGGGACAGGCACCCUCCUGGGGACAGCCAGCAGCAGAAAUGGGGACAAAACCAGUGUUCCCAGCACACGCAGCCAACAGGGACUGGGAGGUACAUAGAGCGCAGCCCGCUACCUCCACCGCAGUGUGUCAGCGGGGUGGGGGCACCAAGCUGUGACCCCCGGACACCCCCCUGUGGGGUGACAGCACCGGGGACAAACUCCAGUCCCCAGGCAGGCACUGGGCAGGUCCCUGCAGCACUGGGGACUCUCCCGGUGCUUUUGGCUGGGAUUUCCUGCGGGGCCGUGGGUUCGGCGGUGUCGCAACGCUCCCCGAGCCCUGCUCCGUCCCUGCGCGCCGCCAGCUGCGUGGGACUUUGCAGAGCUCCCAGGGCGGCGCUGCCAGAUGGGGCCGUGACCCCAGCGCCCGCCCAGUACGGCUUACUGGGCAUACUGGGCAUCCUGCAGCUGGCAGCUGGCACCGGCUCAACGCAGCUCGCCUGGUUUCAGCGCUGCCUGGGGCUCUCCUGUCCCCCUGCAUCCCACCAGGAGCCCUCCAGCUGGGGCGCAAACACAGUCCUGGGUGCAAACGCAGACCUGGGUGCGAAUCCAUUGCCAGGCCAGGUACAAAUCCAGCCCCAGAUGCAAACCCGUCAUUGGACGCAAACUCCUCCCCAGGUGCAAACCCAUCCCCGGGAGCGAAUCCAUCACCGGGUGCAAAUCCAGCCCCAGUUGCAAACCCAUCCCCGGGUGCAAACCCAUUGUUGGGUGCAAAUCCAGCCCCAGAUGCAAACCCGUCCUUGGAUGCAAGCCCAAUCCUGGAUGCAAACUCAUCCCUGUGUGCAAAAUCCCUUGAUGCAAACCCAACCCUUGACGCAAACCCAGCCCUGGAUGCAAACCCAUCCUUGGGUGCAAUCCUACUCCUGGGUGCAAACCUACUCCUGGGUGCAAACCCAGCCCUGGGUGCAAACCCAGCCCCGGCUGCACAUCAGACCCAUGGGUGCUGCGCCCCACGACAUCGCCCUCACCCCGAGCCCCUGCUCCCAGCACCCUACUCCUUCCCUUCCCGUCUGCGCCACCGCAGCCCGGUGCCACCCCGUCCCCCCGGGCGGCGCUGCCGGUCCCCUUGCUGCCAGCCUCGCCCUCCGGAUACAGCAGACAGGUCUCCCCCCGCCCCCCCCCCCCGCCCCGGCUCCCUGCUCGGCGUCUGGCUGA